GACGAACGCUGGCGGCGUGCUUAACACAUGCCAGUCGAACGGAAAGGCCCUGCUUUUGUGGGGUGCUCGAGUGGCGAACGGGUGAGUAACACGUGAGUAACCUGCCCGUGACUUUGGGAUAACUUCAGGAAACUGGGGCUAAUACCGGAUAGGAGCUCCUGCUGCAUGGUGGGGGUUGGAAAGUUUCGGCGGUUGGGGAUGGACUCGCGGCUUAUCAGCUUGUUGGUGGGGUAGUGUCUUACCAAGGCUUUGACGGGUAGCCGGCCUGAGAGGGUGACCGGCCCCAUUGGGACUGAGAUACGGCCCAGACUCCUACGGGAGGCAGCAGUGGGGAAUAUUGCACAAUGGGCGGAAGCCUGAUGCAGCAACGCCGCGUGCUGGAUGACGGCCUUCGGGUUGUAAACCGCUUUCGCCUGUGACGAAGCGUGAGUGGCGGUAAUGGGUAAAGAAGCACCGGCUAACUACGUG
RNAcentral lists this ribosomal RNA (468 nucleotides) under uncultured bacterium. Its description in RNAcentral is "partial 16S ribosomal RNA". It matches the Rfam family "Bacterial small subunit ribosomal RNA", at positions 28 to 507 of the family's 1533-position model. The record is from RNAcentral.